Molecule: non-coding RNA, 94 nt
Organism: Dendrothele bispora CBS 962.96
Lineage: Eukaryota; Fungi; Basidiomycota; Agaricomycetes; Agaricales
Source: the annotation of a GenBank genome assembly
GACGCUAUAGCGAAGUGGUUAAGGCGACAGAGCAGUACCCAUUGAGGAUAUUUGUACCUCUAAGAGGGCGCAGGUUCAAAUCCUGCUGGCGUCA